RNAcentral lists this ribosomal RNA (360 nucleotides) under Triticum aestivum (bread wheat). RNAcentral's name for it is "partial small subunit ribosomal RNA". The record is from RNAcentral. Lineage: Eukaryota; Viridiplantae; Streptophyta; Magnoliopsida; Poales; Poaceae.
AUGAGUAGUCAUGGCAACGACCAGAAAUACGCUCGAGAGGAAUGUCAUCCUACUAAGCAAGGAAGGCUGAAUGUUGAUGAGGUAGGUGGAAGUAGAAACAACCUCAACCCAAAAGUGUGGUGGAAGAGAGGCAAUGAUCUUCAACGUAUGAGCCGCCUCAAGAAGGUGACAAUGCUUGCUCUCAACAACAACAUUCUGAGCAUCAUGUCCAUGCUAAGAGAACCGAGCAAGUGUGCUCUGCUCAGCGAGGAAUCCGCGCAACAAACAAUAGAUAAAAUCACGGGUAAAAUCUGCAUGAAAGACAUAGAUAGGAGUGGAAAACAGGGUAUGAAGUAUUGUUGCAAACAUCUUACAAAUUGA